ACCAGAAGCUGAUGAAACACGUAACCUUUGAGUGCAUGACCUGUAAGGCAAACCCAGAUAAUGUCUUCACCUACCUGGCCGUGAAGGUACAAAGACACCAUUCCUCAAAUCUGGCUGCCUGGUCAACGCGAUGCCAUGAAUAGGAAACACAAGGAUACAGAAAAUAAAAAGACUUCGUAAUAAAUUAAGCAAAGAACUACAUGGAAUGAGAAGGAACUUCUGCUGCCUCACUGGACCAUUUGAAAUGUAAUACUGAAUACGUUUGCAAGUGAUCUUAACAUGGUGAGUUUACAUUAUUUGUUGGUGCAUUCUUUGCCUUUCCUAUAUCUAUGAUAAUGGGAUCCCUGUGGUAAUA
Long non-coding RNA from Actinia tenebrosa (Australian red waratah sea anemone), 355 nucleotides. Lineage: Eukaryota; Metazoa; Cnidaria; Anthozoa; Actiniaria; Actiniidae. The record is from RefSeq and is a predicted model, not a curated record.